GAGUGGGAAAAUCCUAAAGUAGAGGUGAUAUACCUAUCGAACUUAGAGAUAGCUGGUUUUUUAAGAAAAGAAUUUUAGUUCUACUUUAAAUUUUAUAUUAAACAAAAAUAUACCUAAAUUUAAAAGCUACUCAAAUAAGGCACAGCUUAUUUGAAAUAGGAUACAACCUAGACCUCAGGGUAAGAUAAAUUAAAUUUUGAUAAGUGGGCCUAAAAGCAGCCAUCUUUCAAAAAGCGUCAUAGCUUAGUAAGCACAAUUUGACUAAUACCAGUACUCACCUCUAACCCUUAUACACUAUUAAAAACCCCAUAAUAUUAUGGAAGCUACUAUGCUAGAACAAGUAACAAGAAAAAGACUUUCUCCAAAAAUGUAAGCUUA
This 378-nucleotide ribosomal RNA is filed under the name Boophis narinsi. RNAcentral's name for it is "partial 16S ribosomal RNA". The record is from RNAcentral. Lineage: Eukaryota; Metazoa; Chordata; Amphibia; Anura; Mantellidae.